RNAcentral lists this ribosomal RNA (253 nucleotides) under uncultured bacterium. RNAcentral's name for it is "partial 16S ribosomal RNA". It matches the Rfam family "Bacterial small subunit ribosomal RNA", at positions 524 to 776 of the family's 1533-position model. The record is from RNAcentral.
UACAGAGGUCUCAAGCGUUGUUCGGAUUCAUUGGGCGUAAAGGGUGUGUAGGUGGCGCGCUAAGUCGGGUGUGAAAUUUCGGAGCUUAACUCCGAAACUGCAUUCGAUACUGGCGUGCUUGAGGACUGGAGAGGAGACUGGAAUUCAUGGUGUAGCAGUGAAAUGCGUAGAGAUCAUGAGGAAGACCAGUGGCGAAGGCGGGUCUCUGGACAGUUCCUGACACUGAGACGCGAAAGCGUGGGGAGCAAACAGG